RNAcentral lists this ribosomal RNA (271 nucleotides) under uncultured archaeon. Its description in RNAcentral is "partial 16S ribosomal RNA". It matches the Rfam family "Archaeal small subunit ribosomal RNA", at positions 477 to 747 of the family's 1478-position model. The record is from RNAcentral.
CUGCAGCCCGAGUGGUGAUCGAUUUUAUUGGGCCUAAAGCGUCCGUAGCCUGUUUAAUAAGUUUUUUGUGAAAUCGUUGCGCUUAACGUAACGUUGUGCAAAAAAUACUGUCAGACUUGGAACUGGGAAGAGCUAGAGGUAUUCUGGGGGGAGCGGUAAAAUGCUAUAAUCCUCGGAGGACCACCAGUGGCGAAGGCGUCUAGCUAGAACAGAUUCGACGGUGAGGGACGAAAGCCAGGGGAGCAAUCCGGAUUAGAUACCCGAGUAGUCC